GGAUUAGAUACCCUGGUAGUCCACGCCGUAAACGAUGUCGACUUGGAGGUUGUGCCCUUGAGGCGUGGCUUCCGGAGCUAACGCGUUAAGUCGACCGCCUGGGGAGUACGGCCGCAAGGUUAAAACUCAAAUGAAUUGACGGGGGCCCGCACAAGCGGUGGAGCAUGUGGUUUAAUUCGAUGCAACGCGAAGAACCUUACCUGGUCUUGACAUCCACGGAAGUUUUCAGAGAUGAGAAUGUGCCUUCGGGAACCGUGAGACAGGUGCUGCAUGGCUGUCGUCAGCUCGUGUUGUGAAAUGUUGGGUUAAGUCCCGCAACGAGCGCAACCCUUAUCCUUUGUUGCCAGCGGUCCGGCCGGGAACUCAAAGGAGACUGCCAGUGAUAAACUGGAGGAAGGUGGGGAUGACGUCAAGUCAUCAUGGCCCUUACGACCAGGGCUACACACGUGCUACAAUGGCGCAUACAAAGAGAAGCGACCUCGCGAGAGCAAGCGGACCUCAUAAAGUGCGUCGUAGUCCGGAUUGGAGUCUGCAACUCGACUCCAUGAAGUCGGAAUCGCUAGUAAUCGUGGAUCAGAAUGCCACGGUGAAUACGUUCCCGGGCCUUGUACACACCGCCCGUCACACCAUGGGAGUGGGUUGCAAAAGAAGUAGGUAGCUUAACCUUCGGGAGGGCGCUUACCACUUUGUGAUUCAUGACUGGGGUGAAGUCGUAACAAGGUAACCGUAGGGGAACCUGCGGUUG
RNAcentral lists this ribosomal RNA (745 nucleotides) under Escherichia coli. RNAcentral's name for it is "bacterial SSU rRNA". It matches the Rfam family "Bacterial small subunit ribosomal RNA", at positions 775 to 1520 of the family's 1533-position model. RNAcentral also lists the same sequence under 1 other name. The record is from RNAcentral. Lineage: Bacteria; Pseudomonadati; Pseudomonadota; Gammaproteobacteria; Enterobacterales; Enterobacteriaceae.